This 399-nucleotide unclassified non-coding RNA is filed under the name Hevea brasiliensis (rubber tree). Lineage: Eukaryota; Viridiplantae; Streptophyta; Magnoliopsida; Malpighiales; Euphorbiaceae. The record is from RNAcentral.
GGAUCGAUCCAACGACCGUGCCGCCAUUCGCCUUCACCACGUUCGCCGUGUCGCUCUCAAGCGCAUGUCCAAACGCAUAGUCCGCUGUGAGGAAAUACCAAGUAUUCAAGCCUUCCUUGAUAAGUGCCUUUCCGGUGCCUUGGGCCAGCGCAUAGGUAUCGUAAGCAUAAUGGAUGCUGUUUGGGGUGCAGGAAUCGUUUGUCAGUCGUGAUGAGCCGGACCCGUUGACGAUGGCGAUUCGGUUUUUCUCCUGUGCGACGUUGGUGACUGCCAAUGCGAUUGAUGAGUUGAAAUCAGGUCGACUUUGGUGACGUCGUACCACUCACGCGCCUUGGCAAUCGCCACCUCGUUGCGGUUCUGGUGAUCGGCGACGAUCACCUCAAUGGGCUUGCCGAGUAC